UUCUAGAGACAUUAAAUGGUAUAUGAUUGGAGGCAAAAAAUCAGCACGGUUUGACUUGGAAUAUUCAAAAAUGGCCGCCGUUACCAUGGAAACAGCAAAAAGUAUGAAAAAAUGAAAUUGCUUCAAAUUUAAGGAAACUUAUAACAAUGUUGCCUUAGCUUAUGUAGACUUGACUUUUGAGUUUGGAAUUUUCUAAUGGCGCCGCUCCCUGGCAAUGAGGGGAAGGGUGCAUCCGUUAAUUGCUAGCAAUUCAAUCAGUUAUUAUUAUGUCACCCGAUCGACAAUGUCGGUGACUAUUGCUUUUCCUCUAUUAUUAUUAUUUUUUCUUCCACCUAAUUUUGUCCGGCCAGUCUUUCUCAGAGCCAAGGAACCAAUCUGAAUGAUGGUGACUAAUAAUACAAGGAACCUGACUUUCCAGUUGCAGUGCAACUUUGGAACUAAAAAUGGCUGCCAUCACCAUGGAAACGGAAAAAUGGUGAAGAAAAAUAUAAUUUUGAGAAAGGUGGAAUUGUUUGAAAUGCUUACUAAAUCUUUAGAUUUUAACAAAAAGUAGGUGCCCACUAUAUACUCGCUUUGGGAUGAUUUUGGCAAUCAUUGGAAACUGCUAUGUGCCAUGGAUACUACACCAAAAAUUUCCAAAAUAUGGAAAUGCUCCAAAUUUAUAAAAAUUCAAAAUAGGUAACGUGAGCAACAUUGGAGAGUUGAAUUUGCGUUGGAAUUUGAAAAAUGUCUGCCGUUCCAUGGAAACGAGGUCAAAUGGUCCAAAAACUCGAAAGUGGCAUUUACUUUUAAAAUGGUAGGGUCAAAUUGAUCGAAACUUUUGAUGGUAUGGUCCCUCCCAUGUACCAAUGUGGUAUAUGCCAUUAAAAUUUGGGAAUGGUCUCUGUGCCAUAGAACACCACAAAUGUCAAAAAUUUCUAAAAUUUUCAAAAUUGAUGAACACUUAAUAUGAUUGACACUAUCAAGUCUGCAUGAGACUUUUGCAGUUGAAUUUCCAAAAUGGCUACCGUUGCCAUGGAAAUGGAAAAUGUCAAUAUUUUGAAAUGCUCCAAACUUAAAUGGAACUAAUAUUAUUGUAUAACUGCAUGUAUAGAAUGAGACUUUUGACUUUCAAACUUUUCAAAAUGGCUGCCGUUGCCAUGGAAACAGCAAAAAUGUAUGUUUUAAAAAUGAUCUAGAUUACUGUGAAAUUUACAGAAAAAAAAUGUAUAGCCAUCAAAUAUGUGCAUUCACUGUUAAAAGUUUGGAAAAUGGCUGCCUGCUUAUGUGGCAAAUGGGAAGGAAGGGUGAACANNNNNNNNNNNNNNNNNNNNNNNNNAUAUAUCGUUCACAACUGUUUAACGCGUCGACUGUGAUAUUGCAAACAAGUCGGUUGAUCAUGAUUAGACUAAAUUCAACAAAAAAAAAUCCAGCCAUGUUGAAAUUGUUAAAUAAGAGUUUUUAAAGUCAUUUUGCCAAUGGUGUCUUUCUACCAUGUGCUGUAGGAUUAUUAUUUCGUACUCAUGUCACAUGUUGGAUACAUGCUUUUUUAUCUUCCUUUGUAUAUUAGUUCUUCACCAGUGUGUUUAACGGCUGACUGAACAACGGAAUGCCUUUUUAUAUUCAAAAAAUCAGAGGGAUAGGAAAUGUAAAUAAUGUUUUUUAGUCUAUUGUGCAAUAUUCUUUACCAGUGUGCUUGCUGCUAGGGAAUAAUGUUCUACUCCCUUUAGAUCGUUUGAAAAUGGCAUUUUAUUUCCUUUGUAUAUAUUUCACCAUUGUUUCACAACUAUUUCAAAAAGGUGAAUACAUUAGUUAUAUUCACGAAAUCGAAGAGAUGAAAUGUAAAUAAUGUUUGUAGUUCAUUUUCCAAUGUUUUCUUUACCAUGUGCUGGUAGGGGAUCUAUCUUUCUACUUACCUUAGAUUGAAAAUAAUGUUUUUGAUUUCCUCUUUAUAUCGUGCACGAUGUUUUUAACGACUGAUUGCACAAUGUCAAUCGAUUCUGUAUUCACAGAAUCCAGGAUUGAAGAUUAAAAUAGAUGUUUUUAUUCAUCUUCCAAUGUUUCUUUAACCAUGUGUGUCUGGUAGGAUCUAUUCUUCGUACUUACCUUAGAUGAAAUAAUUGUUUUUGAUUCCUUUGUAUAUUCUGCACGAGUUGUUUUAACGGACUGAUUGCACAAAGUUCAAUGCAUUCUUGUAUUCAACAGAAUCCAGGAUUGAAAUGUAAAUAAUGUUUUCCAGUUCAAUUUCCAAUAUCUUUGACCAUCUGCUGGUCAGAGAUCUAGCAUGUUCAUACUCAUCUAAUUAAACAACCCACGUUUAUUUCUUUUGUAUUCGUUCACCGUUGUUUUAACGGCUUGGACUUGAAGCAAGUAAAUUUAUUGUGAUAUUGUCAACAAAAUCGGAGGAUUGAACUGUAAAUGUUGUUUUUUAAGUUCCAUUAUUCCAAUAUAUUUACUAUGCUGCUGAUUAGGAUCAUCCUUUCCGCUACUUCACCUUAGAUGUUGAAAUUUCGUUUUUAGUUUCCUUUGUAAUAGGCUCGCCCUGUUUUAACGGCCUGAUUGAACACUAAAUAGUAUAUUAGUUAUAUUCACAAAAUCGAGGAUUGAAAUGUAAUUAAUGUUUUAAGUUCAUUUUCCAAUGUCUUAACAUGUGCUGGUAGGAUCUAGCCUUCGUUCUCACCUUAGAGUUGAAAAUGCAUUUUUAUUUACUUUGGAUAUAUUUCACCAUUGUUUUCACAGAUAUGUUGAACAAGUGAAAUACAUAGUUAUAUUCACCAAAAUCGACAGAUUGAAAUGUAAUAAUGUUUUUAAGUUCAUUUUCCAAUGUUUUUCUUUACAUGUGCUGUAGGACUAUUGCUUUCUACUUACCUUAGAUGAAAAUAAUUAAUUUUAAUUUUCUUUGUAUAUCGUUCACAAUGUUUUAACGCUGAUUUGCAACAAGUUGAAUGCAUUCUAAUAUCAACAAAAUCCAGCAUGUGAAAUGUAAAUAAUGUUUUUAAGUUCAUUUGCCAAUUGUUCUUUACCAAUGUGCUGGUAGGAUCUAUUUAUUUCUACUCAUGUUUCACAUGUAUGAAUGCUUUUUUAUUUCCUUUGUAUAUAGUCACCAGUGUUUACGGCUGACUGCAAAAGGUGAAUGCUUGUUAUAUUCAAAAAAAUCGAGGAUAGAAAUGAAAUAAUGUUUUCUAGUUCUAUUUGCAAUAAUCUUUACCAGUGGUGCUAGGAUAUAUCUGUUCGUACUUCACCUUAGAUGUUGAAAAUGCAUUUUUAUUCCUUUGCUAUAUAUUUCACCAUUGUUUCAGCAACUAUUUCAAAAAGUGAAUUACAUGAGUUAUAUCACGAAAUCGAAGAUUGAAAUGUAAAUAAUGUUUUUUAGUUCAGUUUUCCAAUGUUUGUCUUUACCAUGUCUGGUAGAUCUAUUCUUUCUACUUACCUUAGAUGAAAUAAUGUUUUUGAUCUUCUAUUAUCGUGCACGAUGUUUUAACGACUGAUUGCACAAUCUGUCAGAUUGCAUUCUGUGUAUCACAGAAUCAGGAUUGAAAUGUAAAUAAUGUUUUUCAGUUCAUUUUCCCAAUAUCUUUACCAUCUGCUGAUCAGGAUCUGAGCUUUCGUAACUCGAUCUUAGAUGUAAACAACGUUUUAUUUUCUUUUUUAUUUCGUUCACCGUGUUUUAACGGACUGCACCUGAACAAUUAAUUUAUUGUGAUAUUCACAAAAUCGAGGUAUUUGAACUGUAAAUGUUGUUUUUAAGCUCAUUUCCAAUAUAUUUACUAUGUGUAUUAGGAUCUAUCCUUUCGUACUCACCUUGACAUGUUGAUAAUUCGUUUUUAUUCCUUUGUAUAUAGCUCGCCCUGUUUAACGGCUUGAGUGAACACGUAAAAAUAGUAUAUAUAGUUAUAUUCAACAAAAUCGAGGAUUGAAAAUGUAAAUAGAUGUUUUUCAGUUCAUUUCCAAUGUCUUUACCAGUGUGCUCUAGGGAUCAAUCUUUUCGUACUCACCUUAGAUGUUUAAAUGCCGUUUUAAUUUCCUUGCGUUCAUUAGUUCAUCAUUGUUAAACAAGUGAAUUUCAUAGUUAUAUUCACAGAAUCGAGGAUUAAUAAAUGUAAAGAGUUUUUUUAGUUCAAUUUUUCCAAUGUCUUUCACCAUGUGCUGGUAGGGAUUUAGUUUCCUACUCAUCUUAGAUAUUAUUAUUUUAUUCCUUUUUAUAUUGUUAAAAUGUUAACUCGCAAAAAUUACAAAAAACAAAAACCAAAAAAACCAUCUUAAUUUUUCGUUAUAAGAGGGCAACCUCUUGAAAGUUAUUGAAAUGUUGCAGGUGGGGCCCUGAGUUACCAAACAGUACUUGGCAAUUUCAAAAACGCUACCAUUACCAUGCAAGAAACUUGGGAAGAUCCUAUGGAUAAAAGACAUUAAAGUAAGCAGUUUUAGUGGCAAUGUGGGAAGGGUGACCAUCCGCUAUUGCUUUUGCAAUGGCAAUCUAAGUAUUAUUUUAGUUCUUCCACACUUUUGUCCAUUCUAUUUCUCAGAAUUGUGCAUGACCAGUAUUUGAUGGAUGUAGCCAUAAUAGUUGAAGACCGACACAUGUUAAUAUAGUGCAGUGAGAGCAUGAAUGGUAACCCUGUUCCAUGGACAACGAAACAUAUUGUGAAAAAUCCAGUUUUGUUUUGUGAACUGUUUGGAUAUGUUGAAAAAAAAAAGCUUCCAAAGAUCCCAUUAUUUAAUUUUUAUACAAUGUAGGUGCCCACUAUAUACAGGUGUUGGAUGAUUUUGGUACUCAUUGGAACUACUAUGUUGCCAUGGAAACUGCACCAAAAAUUUCAAAAGUAUCAAAAUGCUCAAAACUUAAUGAAACUUCACAGUAACGAUGAGCAACAUUGAAACAUGUGGAAUUUGGCGUUGGAAUUUCCAAAAUAUCUGUUGUUACCAUUGAAACAAUGCAAAAAGGUCAAAACUUUGAAUUUUCACAGAACAUUCCAGAACAUCAAUGUUAAAUUUAUUCUAGAGACUUAAAUGGUAUAUGAUUUGUAUUAGGAUUCAUGGAGGGGAAAGAAGUUGCAGGGGUUUGACUUUGGAUUCAAAAUGGCCGCCGUUACCAUGAAGAACAGCAUAAAUUCCGAAAUUUAAAAUGCCUCCUAAAUUAAUGAAACUUAUAAAAAAUGAUAUUGUGCUUGAAUGUAGACAUUACUUUGUGAAUCAGCGCCUCCUGGAAAACAAAUUUUAAAUGGCUGCCGCCUGGCUUGCAAUUGGGGGAAGGUGCCAUCCCUAUUGCUUGCCAAUGGCAAAUCUAGUUAAUUGCACCCUCAACGCAGUUGGUCUACAUAUUGUUAUUCUACAGUUUCUUUUUUUUUAUUAAUGUCACCCGAUCACCAAAUUGUCUGAGUACCAUAUUGCUUGCUGGCAAUUCUUAGUUUAUUAUCUUCCACCUAUUUGGUCCGCAGGUUUUGUAGUAAAUGAACCAAUCCUUAAUGAUAAUUCACUAUAAGGGGAAACAAAGAAAUUUCGUGCCAGGUGGGUCUAAGACCAUAAAAAUGGCUUGCGUUCCAUGAAACGAAAUAAUUGUGAAAAAUUCCAGCUUUUGGUUUUACGUGAAUAAUUUGAGAUCUUAAACUCAGAUAUCAUAGUAUCUGUAUCAACAAUGUAGGUGCCAGUCAUGUAAUGGUUGGAUGAUUUGGCAAUUCAUUGGAAACAUACAUGUUGCCAUGGAAAUUACCCCAAAAAUUUUACCAAAAAUUCAAAAUGCUCCAAAAUUUUUUGAACGUUCAUUAGACGAUGAGCAACAUUGUCGAUGUGGCGUUAAUUUGGGCGUGGAAUUUCAAAUGUCUACUUUACCAUGAAAACAGGCAUAAGUGUCAAAAAUGCCUCUAAAAAAACUUCAGAGUUUGGUGAAAUAACUUGGUAUGCUAGAAUGUGAAAUCAAUCAAAUUUAUUUACACAAGUAUAUUUCCACAUAUAUACCAGGUUUGAUGAUUUUGACAAUCAUUGGAACUCUUACUUACAUGGAUACAGGAUCAAAAUAUUCAAAAAUUUCAAAAUGCUCUAAAAAUUGAUGCAAACUGUAAUCAUAUUGUUGCACUGCAAAGUCUGGAUUGAGACUUUUGACUUUGAAUUCCAAAAUGGCCCCUUUGCCAUGCGAAACUGCCAAAAAAGUCAAAAAUUCUCAAAAAUGGCUUGAACUUUAAUGAAACUUGAUAGUUAUUUUAACUGGCAAGUAAAGAUGAGACUUUUGACGUUUAGAAAUUUCAAAAUGGGUGCCGUUGCCAUGGAAAACAGAUAGAAAUGUUGAUAUUUUUUAAAAUGCUCUGAUUCAAUGAAAACUGAAAAUUUACCAGAAAGAUGUAUUCCAUUGCCAUUGAUAUAGUGCAUUCACUGUUAAACCAUUUUGGAAAUGCUGCCGUUAGUGGCAAUAGGGGGAAGGGUGACAUCGCGCUAUUGCUUGCAAUGGCAAUUCUAGUUAUGGCACCCUCAACGGAGUUGGGGUGACGUAUUGUUAUUGUACGUUUCUUUUUUUCCUUAUUAUGGCACCCUCAACGGAGUUGGGGUGACAUAUUGUUAUUCUACGUUUCUUUUUUUUCUUAUUUUUCUUCCACACAUUUUUCCGCGCGAGUUCUUGGAAUUCCAAGGACCACAUGUUGAUGGAACUCUCUAUAAUGAGGCACCCCCAUGUGAAGUGUGCACGCUUGCUAAUGAGAAUGUAAAAAAUGCGCCAUUUCCAGAAAACAAUCACAAAUGCGAAAAAAAUCAAAAGUGUUCCAAACUGGAAAAAACUCCUUCAGAAUGUUAACUGCAUGUGCUUUUGUCAAGUUGACUUUGGAAUUUUCAAAUGGCCGCCGUUACCAUGGAAACAGCUAAAAUAUUCAAAAAUUCUAACUCUUUCAUUAUAACAUCCAACUGGAUAAACUUUAUGAAAAUGUUUCCAUAUGCCAAGAUGCAAAGACAAUAUAUGGAUAGUUCAAAAUGCCGCCGUUGUCAUGGAAACUGGGGCCAAGUUUUGCAUUACCUAUGGAAAAAUGCAUAAAAUCAGCUUUCUCAAAGAGUAGUGCACCAAAGUAAUGAAAAACUGUAUUGAUAUAUAACAUGACAUGUGCAAAUGAGAUGUACGCUUUUAGAAUUUGGAAUUAUCUACUGUAACAUGAUAAUGCAGGACAUAAAAUUAAAAAAAGUGCUGCAUAACUGGAUGAAACUUUACAGGAAUAGUGACUGACAUGUGCGGAGUUGCAUUUUGAAGUUGGAAUUUUCCAAAAUGGCCGCCGUAACAAUGUGAAACAGAAAUAUGUCCAAAAUUUCAAAAUAGCCUCCAAACUUAAUGAAAUUUUAAAAAUGAUGACUUGCAGAGUGAUAGAUGCUCUCUUUGACUUUGAGAAUAUUCCAAAAGUGGCUGCGCCGCCGUCAAUGGGGGACGAGGUGCCAUCGAUAUUGCUAGCAGAUUACAAAUCUUAUAUUGUAUUUUCUGCAACAAAUUUUGUCCAGGUAUUUCUCGGAAAUCCAAUGGACCAAUGUUGAUGGAACUCUACUAUAGUAAGGACCCCCAGGUGCAGAGUUGCAGGAAGCAUGGAAUGGUUCAAGAUGGCUACCGUUACCAUGGAAACAGAACAAAUGUGAAAAAAUCCAGUUUUUUGUUUUGGUGAACUGUUUGGAUAUGCUUUAUCUCAGAAUCAUUAUAUUUUAAUACAAUGUAGGUGCCCACUAUAUACAGGUGUUGGAUGAUUUUGGUGAUCAUUGGAACUACUAUGUUGCCAUGGAAACUACACCAAAAAUUUCGAAAUUCUCAAAAUGCUCCAAACUUCAGGAAACUUCACAGUAACGAUGAGCAACAUUGGAAGAUGUGGAAUUUGGCGUUGGAAUUUCCAAAAUAUCUGUUGUUACCUUGGAAACAAUGCAAAAAGGUCAAAACUUUGAAUUUUCACAGAACAUUCCAGAACAUUAAUGUUAAAUUUAGUCUAGAGACAUUAAAUGGUAUAUUAUUAUGGAGGGCAAAAAAUGCAGCAUGGGUUUGACUUUGGAAUAUUCAAAAUGGCCGCCGUUACCAUGGAAACAGCAAAAAUAUGAAAAACUUCAAAAUGCUUCAAAUUUAAGGAAACUUAUAACAAAUGUUGCCUAGCUUAUGUAGACUUGACUUUUGAGUUUGGAAUUUUCUAAAUGGCCGCCGCUCACCUGGCAAUAGGGGAAGGGUGCCAUCCGUUAUUGCUAGCAAUUACAAAUCUAGUUAUUAUUGUCACCCGAUCGACAAUGUCGGGUGACAUAUUGCUUUUCCUCUGUUUCUUUAUUAUUAUUAUUAUUUUUCUUCCACCUAAUUUUGUCCGGCAGUUUUCUCAGAGCCAAAGGAACCAAUCUGAAUGAUAGUGCACUAUAACAAGGAACCCUGACUUUCCUGUUGCAGUUUCAACUUUGGAACUAAAAAAAUGGCUGCCAUCACCAUGGAAACGAAAAAUGGUGAAAAAAUAUAAUUUUGGAGUUAGGUGAAUUGUUUGAGAAUGCUUAACCUUAAAAUCUUUAGAUUUUAAUACAAUGUAGGUGCCCACUAUAUACUGGUUUUGGGAUGAUUUUGGCAAUCAUUGGAACUGCUAUGUUGCCAUGGAUACUACACCAAAAAUUUCCAAAAUAUGGAAAUGCUCCAAAUUUAAUGAAACUUCACAGUAACGAUGAGCAACAUUGGUAGAUGUGGAAUUUGGCGUUGGAAUUUCCAAAAUGUCUGCCGUUUCCAUGGAAACAAUGCAAAAAAAAAUGGUCCAAAAACACUUAAAGUGGCAUUUACUUUCUUAAAAGGGUAGGUCAAAUCCAUUGAAACUUUGAUGGUAUGUCCCUCCCAUGUACCAAUGUGGUAUAUGCCAUUAGAAUUUUGGAAUGGUCUCUGUUGCCAUAGAAACCAGCAAAAUGUCAAAAAAUUUCAAAAAUUUCAAAAUGCUCCAAAAUUGAUGAAACUUAAUAUGAUUGUUGACUGUCAAGUCUGCAUGAGACUUUUGAAGUUGGAAUUUCCAAAAUGGCCACCGUUGCCAUGGAAACUGCAAAAAUGUCAAAUAUUUUCAAAAUGCUCCAAACUUAAUGAAACUUAAUAUUAUUGUAAACUGGCAUGUAUAGAUGAGACUUUUGACUUUGAAAUUUUCAAAAUGGCUGCCGUUGCCAUGGAAACAGCAAAAAAUGUGAAAUUUUUAAAAAUGCUCUGAAUGUACUGAAAAUUUACAGAAAAAUGUAUAGCCAUGCAAAUAUGUGCAUUCACUGUUAAACAAUUUUGAAAUGGCUGCCGCUUAGUGGCAAUGGGGGAAGGGUGACAUCCGCUAUUGCUUGCAAUGGCAAUUCUAGUUAUUAUUAUUUUCUUCCACCUAAUUUUGUCCGGCAGUUUUCUCAGAGCCAAAGGAACCAAUCUGAAUGAUGGUGCACUAUAACAAGGAACCCUGACUUUCCAGUUGCAGUGCAACUUUGGAACUAAAAAAUGGCUGCCAUCACCAUGGAAACGAAAAAUAAUGGAAAAAAUUCCAGUUUUUGGUUUUGGUGAAUUAUUUGGAAAUGCUUUAAACUUAGAAUCAUUAUAUUUUGAUACAAUGUAGGUGCCGGGCUAUAUACUGGUUUUGGAUGAUUUUGGCAAUCAUUGGAACUACUAUGUUGCCAUGGAUACUACACCAAAAAUUUCAAAAAUAUGGAAAUGCUCCAAAUUUUAUAAAACUUCACAGUAACGAUGAGCAACAUUGGUAGAUGUGGAAUUUGGCGUUGGAAUUUCCAAAAUGUCUGCCGUUACCAUGGAAACAAUGCAAAAAGGUCAAAAUGGUCCAAAAACCUUAAGUGGCAUUUACUUUCUUAAAAUGGUAGGUCAAAUUGAUUGAAACUUUGAUGGUAUGGUCCCUCCCAUACAUGUACCAAUGUGGUAUCUGCCAUUAAUUUUGGAAUGGUCUCUGUUGCCAUAGGAACCAGCCCAAAAUGUCAAAAAUUUCAAAAAUUUCAAAAUGCUCCAAAAUUGAUGAAACUUAAUAUGAUUGUUGACUGUCAAGUCUGCAUGAGACUUUUGAAGUUGGAAUUUCCAAAAUGGCCACCGUUGCCAUGGAAACUGCAAAAUGUCAAAUAUUUUCAAAAUGCUCCAAACUUAAUGAAACUUAAUAUUAUUGUUAACUGGCAUGUAUAGAUGAGACUUUUGACUUUGGAAAUUUUCAAAAUGGCUGCCGUUGCCAUGGAAACAGCAAAAAUGUGAAAUUUUCUAAAAUGCUCUGAAUGUACUGAAAAUUUACAGAAAGAUGUAUUGCCAAUGCAUAUAUAUGUGCAUUCACUGUUAAACAAUUUUGAAAUGGCUGCCGCUUAGUGGCAAUGGGGGAAGGGUGACAUCCGCUAUUGCUUGCAAUGGCAAUUGUUAUGGCAAGGAGUUAUAUUGUUAUUAUGUCACCCGAUCGACAAUGUCGGGUGACAUAUUGCUUUUCCUCUGUUUCUUUUUCCAUUACCCGAUCGACAAUUCGGGUGACAUAUUGCUUUUCCUCUGUUUCUUUUUCCAUUAUUAUUAUUAUUUUUCUUCUUCACCUAAUUUUGUCCGGCAGUUUUCUCAGAGCCAAAGGAACCAAUCUGAAUGAUGGUGCACUAUAACAAGGAACCCUGACUUUCCAGUUGCUUUGGUAUUGGAACUAAAAAAAUGGCUGCCGUUCACCAUGGAAACGGAAAAAUGGUGAAAAAAAUUAAUUUUGGAGUUUGGUGAAUUGUUUGAGAAUGCUUAAACUUAGAAUCAUUAUAUUUUAAUACAAUGUAGGUGCCCACUAUAUACUGGUUUUGGGAUGAUUUUGGCAAUCAUUGGAACUGCUAUGUUGCCAUGGAUAACUACACCAAAAAUUUCCAAAAAUAUGGAAAAUGCUCCAAAUUUUAAAACUUCACAGUAACGAUGAGCAACAUUGGUAGAUGUGGAAUUUGGCGUUGGAAUUUCCAAAAUGUCUGCCGUUACCAUGGAAACAAUGCAAAAAGGUCAAAAUGCUCAAAAACCUUAAAGUGGCAUUUACUUUCUUAAAAUGGUAGGUCAAAUUGAUUGAAACUUUGAUGGUAUGGUCCCUCCCAUGUACCAAUGUGGUAUAUGCCAUUCAAUUUUGGAAUGGUCUCUGUUACCAUAGGAACCAUCCAAAAUGUCAAAAAUUUCAAAAAUUUCAAAAUGCUCCAAAUUGAUGAAACUUAAUAUGAUUGUUGACUGUCAAGUCUGGAUGAGACUUUUGAAGUUGGAAUUUCCAAAAUGGCCACCGUUGCCAUGGAAACUGCAAAAAUGUCAAAUAAUUUUCAAAAUGCUCCAAACUUAAUGAAACUUAAUAUUAUUGUUAACUGGCAUGUAUAGAUGAGACUUUUGACUUUGGAAUUUUCAAAAUGGCUGCCGUUGCCAUGGAAACAGCAAAAAUGUGAAAUUUUAAAAUGCUCUGAAUGUACUGAAAAUUUACAGAAAGAUGUAUUGCAAUGCAUAUAUGUGCAUUCACUGUUAAACAAUUUUGAAAUGGCUGCCGCUUAGUGGCAAUGGGGGGGAAGGGUGACAUCCGCUAUUGCUUGCAAUGGCAAUUCUAGUUAUUAUUAUUUUUCUUCCACCUAAUUUUGUCCGCCAGUUUUCUCAGAGCCAAAGGAACCAAUCUGAAUGAUGGUGCACUAUAACAAGGAACCCUGACUUUCCAGUUGCAGUGCAACUUUGGAACUAAAAAAUGGCUGCCAUCACCAUGGAAACGGAAAAAUGGUGAAAAAAUUUUUGGGUUUUGGUGAAUUAUUUGAGAAUGCUUAACUUAGAAUCAUUAUAUUUUAAUACAAUGUAGGUGCCCACUAUAUACUGGUUUGGGAUGAUUUUGGCAAUCAUUGGAACUGCUAUGUUGCCAUGGAUACUACACCAAAAAUUUCCAAAAUAUGGAAAUGCUCCAAAUUUUAUAAAACUUCACAGUAACGAUGAGCAACAUUGGUAGAUGUGGAAUUUGGCGUUGGAAUUUUGAAAAUGUCUGCCGUUACCAUGGAAACAAUGCAAAACAGGUCAAAAUGGUCCAAAAAACCUUAAAGUGGCAUUUACUUUCUUAAAAUGGUAGGUCAAAUUUAACGAAACUUUGAUGGUAUGGUCCCUCCCAUGUACCAAUGUGGUAUAUGCCAUUAAAUUUUGGGAAUGGUCUCUGUUGCCAUAGGAACCAUCACAAAUGUCAAAAUUUUCAAAAAUUUCAAAAUGCUCCAAAAUUGAUGAAACUUAAUAUGUUUGUAGACUGUCAAGUCUGGAUGAGACUUUUGAAGUUGGAAUUUCCAAAAUGGCCACCGUUGCCAUGGAAACUGCAAAAAUGUCAAAUAUUUUCAAAAUGCUUUGAAACUUUAAUGAAACUUGAAUAUUAUUGUUAACUGGCAAGUAUAGAUGAGACUUUUGACUUUGAAAUUUCAAAAUGGCUGCCGUUGCCAUGGAAACAGCAAAAAUGUGAAAUUUUCUAAAAUGCUCUGAAUGUACUGAAAAUUUACAGAAAGAUGUAUUGCCAUGCAAAUAUGUGCAUUCACUGUUAAAAGAUUUUGAAAUGGCUGCCGCUUAGUGGCAAUGGGGGGAAGGGUGACAUCCGCUAUUGCUUGCAAUGGCAAAUCUAGUUAUUAUUUAUUCUUCCACACUUUUUUGUCCAUGCUAUUUCUCGGAAUUGGCUUGAACAAUAUUGAUGGAAACUAUGCCAUAAUGUAGACCACCACAUAUGAAAUUGUGCAAACGGGGUAUGGCAUCAUCAAGAUGGCUGCCGUUGCCAUGGAAACGAAACAAAUGUGAAAAAAUCCAGUUUUUUGUUUUGGUGAACUGUUUGGUAAUGCUUUAACUCAGAAUCAUUAUAUUUUAAUACAAUGUAGGUGCCCACUAUAUACAGGUGUUGGAUGAUUUUGGCACUCAUUGGAACUACUAUGUUGCCAUGGAAACUACACCAAAAAAUUUCAAAAAUCUCAAAAAUGCUCCAAACUUCAUGAAACUUCACAGUAACGAUGAGCAACAUUGGAAGAUGUGGAAUUUGGCGUUGGAAUUUCCAAAAUAUCUGUUGUUACCAUGGAAACAAUGCAAAAAGGUCAAAACUUUGAAUUUUCACAGAACAUUCCAGAACAUCAAUGUUUAAAUUUAUUUCUAGAGACAUUAAAUGGUAUAUGAUUAUGGAGGGAAAAAAUUGCAGCGGGGGUUUGACUUUGGAAUAUUCAAAAUGGCCGCCGUUACCAUGGAAACAGCAAAAAUACAAAAAACUUCAAAAUGCUUCAAAUUUAUUGAAACUUAUAACAAAUGUUGCUCAGCUAAUGUAGACUUGACUUUUGAGUUUGGAAUUUCCAAAAUGGCCGCCAUUACCAUGGCUACCGCUCACCUGGCAAUAGGGGAAGGGUGCCAUCCGCUAUUGCUUGCAAUCGCAAAUCUAGUUAUGGCACCCUCAACGGAGUUGGGGUGACGUAUUGUUAUUCUACGUUUCUUUUUUUUCUUAUUAUUAUUUUUCUUGCAACACAUUUUGUCCAGGCGAUUUCUCGAAAUCCAAAACACCAAAGUUGAUGGAACUUUACUAUAAUAAGGACCCACAUGUGCAGAGUUGCAGGAAGCAUGGAAUGGUUCAAGAUGGCUGCCGUUACCAUGGAAACGAAACAAAUGUGAAAAAAUCCAGUUUUUUGUUUUGGUGAACUGUUUGGAUAUGCUUUAACUCAGAAUCAUUAUAUUUUGAAUACAAUGUAGGUGCCCACUAUAUACAGGUGUUGGAUGAUUUUGGCACUCAUUGGAACUACUAUGUUGCCAUGGAAACUACACCAAAAAUUUCAAAAAUAUCAAAAUGCUCCAAACUUCAUGAAACUUCACAGUAACGAUGAGCAACAUUGGAAGAUGUGGAAUUUGGCGUUGGAAUUUCCAAAAUAUCUGUUGUUACCAUGGAAACAAUGCAAAAAGGUCAAAACUUUGAAUUUUCACAGAACAUUCCAGAACAUCAAUGUUAAAUUUAUUCUAGAGACAUUAAAUGGUAUAUGAUUAUGGAGGGCAAAAAAUUGCAGCGGGGGUUUGACUUUGGAAUAUUCAAAAUGGCCGCCGUUACCAUGGAAACAGCAAA
This 13976-nucleotide long non-coding RNA is filed under the name Mytilus galloprovincialis (Mediterranean mussel). Lineage: Eukaryota; Metazoa; Mollusca; Bivalvia; Mytilida; Mytilidae. The record is from RNAcentral.